Molecule: small RNA, 663 nt
Filed under: Pan troglodytes (chimpanzee)
Lineage: Eukaryota; Metazoa; Chordata; Mammalia; Primates; Hominidae
Description: processed transcript
Source: RNAcentral
CACCCUGCUCCUCAACUGCUAUACCAAGCUCAAGGACAGCUCGAAGCUGGAGGAGUUCAUCAAGACAAAGAGUGAGAGUGAAGUCCACUUUGAUGUGGAGACAGCCAUCAAGGUCCUCCGGCAGGCUGGCUACUACUCUCAUGCCCUGUAUCUGGCGGAGAACCAUGCACAUCAUGAGUGGUACCUGAAGAUCCAGCUAGAAGACAUUAAGAAUUAUCAGGAAGCCCUUCGAUACAUCGGCAAGCUGCCUUUUGAGCAGGCAGAGAGCAACAUGAAGCGCUACGGCAAGAUCCUCAUGCACCACAUACCAGAGCAGACAACUCAGUUGCUGAAGGGACUUUGUACUGAUUAUCGGCCCAGCCUCGAAGGCCGCAGCGAUAGGGAGGCCCCAGGCUGCAGGGUGAGGCUGCAGGGAAAAGAGCUUCAGACUGUGGGGAUCACCUUAAGGGCUUCCUGUAUAUCACGCCCACUCAUUCAGCCUCCUUUUUCCUCUCUUGCCAUCCUAGGCCAACUCUGAGGAGUUCAUCCCCAUCUUUGCCAAUAACCCGCGAGAGCUGAAAGCCUUCCUAGAGCACAUGAGUGAAGUGCAGCCAGACUCACCCCAGGGGAUCUACGACACACUCCUUGAGCUGCGACUGCAGAACUGGGCCCACGAGAAGGAUC